This 425-nucleotide ribosomal RNA is filed under the name uncultured archaeon. RNAcentral's name for it is "partial 16S ribosomal RNA". It matches the Rfam family "Archaeal small subunit ribosomal RNA", at positions 323 to 746 of the family's 1478-position model. The record is from RNAcentral.
CUACGGGGGGCUGCAGCAGCGAAUCAUUUACAAUGCACGAAAGUGUGAUAAUGCGAACCAAAGUGCAUAUUCAUUUCGAAUAUGCUUUUCUUCACUGUAAAAAGGUGGAGGAAUAAGGACUGGGAAAGACCGGUGCCAGCCGCCGCGGUAAUACCGGCAGUUCAAGUCGCAUCCAUUUUUAUUGGGUCUAAAACAUCCGUAGCUUGUCGAUUAAGUCUCUUGUGAAAUCCUGUGUCUCAAGCACAGGGCUGGCGGGAGAUACUGAUCGACUAGAGAUCGGUAGACGUAAGGAGUACAUCGGAGGUAGUGGUAAAAUACGUUAAUCUUCGAUGGACUAACAAUGAGCGAAGGCACCUUACGAGGACGAAUCUGACAGUGAGGGAUGAAGGCCAGGGGCGCAAAACGGAUUAGAUACCCGCGUAGUC